Molecule: long non-coding RNA, 2274 nt
Organism: Mauremys reevesii (Reeves's turtle)
Lineage: Eukaryota; Metazoa; Chordata; Testudines; Geoemydidae
Exons: 3
Source: RefSeq, a predicted model, not a curated record
UGGGAGUUCCAGCCACAUGCUUGUCACUAUUUAGAAAUGGGGUUUUAUUGUGUCAUCAUUUCUACCUAUCAAUUUAUAGUACCAUUAGCCCCUUCAUUUCUACUUAGCUUUUAAAAUUAAGAAAGGAGGUAAAAAUCAAUAGCAGCUGAGCUAGCAGGAGCAGAUGUCUGGUAGAGGCCGGAUCAAUGCAUAGAGGGAACUCUCUGAGAGAGCAGAUGGUCCUGAGUUUCAAGCCAUGAAUCACUGUCAUGGACUCUCCUUCAAGCUGUCUUAGAGUACGUGGAGUUGAUAAACCCCGGAAGAGUUGUGAGAUGUGACAUGGAAAAGUGCUAAGAAGAACUGAGCUGUAUAGUGUGAGCUCUGACAGAAAACAUGAAGCAUAUGAAGCUGAAAAAGAAAAGGCCAAGUAGCCAAGUAGUUGGUAUUCAGGCUACUUUCUCCAGUCGAGUUUGUUGUGUGCAGCAAUACGGCACUCUGUCUAUGGGUAUCUUACAGCCUGGAGUACAGUAGACAAAAAUUGCAGUUUAAGAUGAUACAUCUGAACCUUUUGCUAAUAAUCCACUAUAUCUAACACUGGUCUCUACUGUAGUUACUGUGGUACAGACUGCAUGGCAUGGCAGGUCCCGAUUAGAUGGGGGAACAUGUUAGAAAGCAGCAAGUGAAAAAAGGCGUGGACUCAGCUGUAAGUUGAAAAAUACCAUCAAACACAUGGGAAAUCCUUUGCCUUCUUAACAAGAGGUUAUAUAUUAAUUUAGUGUAAUUGUGUUUUAUCCACGUAAAUGUGCCCAAAGGUCUAGGCAUCAGGUGCAUGAUUUUACAGAUGAAUAACAAACUUGCUAUUAUUACAUUACUACUUUAAAUGGAAGGUGUUUUUCUUUUCUAGGCUGGUGAAAAGAAUUAUUACAAAAAACAAGUUUGCAAGUCAAGGCAGGCUUUUAUGGAUCUCCGUUGUUUCCGAGUAAUACAACUGUUUUCAUAUUAAGAAAAAUUGUGAAGCAUCUGUUAUUAUGGUACACACCGGUAUAUUCUUUCAAGAAAUGUAUUUAAUUUGCUUGCAUCAAAUAUCUUUCCAUUCUACUCCAUAUUUUAACAAUGGCUGUUUGUAAAAGAUUAUAUAUGUGUAGACAGAUGCACACACUUAAUCCUUCUAAAACACCCUCCUUUUUCAGAAAACACUGUAUAAACACUAAAAAUUGUAACCUCAUGACACUUCUGUGAUGUGGAUAUUAAACUGAAGCACAGACAGGUGAAAUGACUAGCCCAAUUUUCUUCCCCAAUGUUAGUAUUCUAUUAACUUUCUUACACCAUGCCUAUCACGUGAUAAGAGGGCAGCACAGUAUCUCAGAUCUGAACUACAGAGGCACCAGAAACAUGGAAGAAAAAGUCAAAUGAACAUUUCAUACCCUUAAAAGAAUAACUCUGUCUUUUGCGGUCAGGUAUUCAAAUGGACAAAAUCACAUGGGUGAAGGCUUUAAUUUUUACCAACCCAGAACACCCAUUGCCUAGUUUACAUGUGACUGCUAGGGUCUAGACACCCUAGUGGGAGAACAGGGGAUCUGAACCCAAAAGAGUAAGCAAUUGAAUCAACAGUUUAUAUAAAAUAUAAUUGUGUAUAAAAAUAUGUUGAGUAAGGUCUUUUAUGAAAGCCUGCAAUGUUCUGAAUUUGAUGGUCAUUAUGAUAUAUAGACUGUGGUUAUGAAUCUGUGCAUAUAAGUAUACAGAAUACUAUGCUCAUGACCUGUACUGCAAUUUCAAAUACAUCUCACAGCAGGGAGGUGCUUCUCCAAAGCCAAAUGCUUACACAAAACCAGAUGCAAGUAACAAUCCAUGGUACAACCCCAGAAGAGAAAAAUGAUGGACCAUUACUGUUGGUGGGAAGACAUUGGGACAUCCUAACUGCCAAGUCGAGAGGCAAUUUUCCCUAGCAUGAAUCACCAUAGCCUGUGAGAAAGAAAAAUACAAAACAAACAAACCUGCAAACCUUUAAGAGAGUCAUGGUUUGAAGUGAAGGUGAUCCAGAAACUUAGGGCGAACCUUUAAGUAGGAAGAUGCCCAUGAAAUGCUGGAUCACCUCUCUGACAGGGAGCAUACUAGGAAACUGUUCAAAGGUAGUAGGUAACUUGUAUUAGAAAAAAUAAUGUAUCUAAUAGAGAAGUGUACAAUCUUGAAGUUGCCUCUUUGUUUGUUUUCUGUGCAACUUGUAUAUGUUUGCUUUUUCCUUUUCUUUCAGCUUGUGAAUCUGUGGUUUUCCUAUUAAAUGCAUUUUUUGUUUAU